This 71-nucleotide transfer RNA is filed under the name Loxodonta africana (African savanna elephant). It matches the Rfam family "tRNA". Rfam says of the family: Transfer RNA (tRNA) molecules are approximately 80 nucleotides in length. Their secondary structure includes four short double-helical elements and three loops (D, anti-codon, and T loops). Further hydrogen bonds mediate the characteristic L-shaped molecular structure. tRNAs have two regions of fundamental functional importance: the anti-codon, which is responsible for specific mRNA codon recognition, and the 3' end, to which the tRNAs corresponding amino acid is attached (by aminoacyl-tRNA synthetases). tRNAs cope with the degeneracy of the genetic code in two manners: having more than one tRNA (with a specific anti-codon) for a particular amino acid; and 'wobble' base-pairing, i.e. permitting non-standard base-pairing at the 3rd anti-codon position. The record is from Rfam by way of RNAcentral. Lineage: Eukaryota; Metazoa; Chordata; Mammalia; Proboscidea; Elephantidae.
GCAGUGGUAGUUCAGUGGCAAAAUUCUCGUCUUUCAUGUGGGUGACCUGGGUUCCAGUCCCAGCCAGUGCA